This 496-nucleotide ribosomal RNA is filed under the name uncultured bacterium. Its description in RNAcentral is "partial 16S ribosomal RNA". It matches the Rfam family "Bacterial small subunit ribosomal RNA", at positions 28 to 506 of the family's 1533-position model. The record is from RNAcentral.
GAUGAACGCUGGCGGCGUGCCUAAUACAUGCAAGUCGAGCGAACGGACGAGAAGCUUGCUUCUCUGAUGUUAGCGGCGGACGGGUGAGUAACACGUGGAUAACCUACCUAUAAGACUGGGAUAACUUCGGGAAACCGGAGCUAAUACCGGAUAAUAUUUUGAACCGCAUGGUUCAAAAGUGAAAGACGGUCUUGCUGUCACUUAUAGAUGGAUCCGCGCUGCAUUAGCUAGUUGGUAAGGUAACGGCUUACCAAGGCAACGAUGCAUAGCCGACCUGAGAGGGUGAUCGGCCACACGGGAACUGAGAAACGGUCCAGACUCCUACGGGAGGCAGCAGUAGGGAAUCUUCCGCAAUGGGCGAAAGCCUGACGGAGCAACGCCGCGUGAGUGAUGAAGGUCUUCGGAUCGUAAAACUCUGUUAUUAGGGAAGAACAUAUGUGUAAGUAACUGUGCACAUCUUGACGGUACCUAAUCAGAAAGCCACGGCUAACUACGU